GUCUGGAAGGGAUAAACGCUGAAGGCAUCUAAGCGUGAAGCCCACCCUAAGAUGAGAUAUCCCGUCUUUAAAAGACAUAAGAUCCCUUGAAGAGUACAAGGUAGAUAGGGCAGGGGUGUAAGAGCUGUAAAGCUCUCAGCUGACUGUCACUAAUAGAUCGAAGGCUUGAUCAAG
RNAcentral lists this ribosomal RNA (174 nucleotides) under Lachnospiraceae bacterium. Its description in RNAcentral is "partial 23S ribosomal RNA". It matches the Rfam family "Bacterial large subunit ribosomal RNA", at positions 2753 to 2925 of the family's 2925-position model. The record is from RNAcentral. Lineage: Bacteria; Bacillati; Bacillota; Clostridia; Lachnospirales; Lachnospiraceae.